Molecule: ribosomal RNA, 482 nt
Filed under: uncultured bacterium
Lineage: Bacteria
Description: partial 16S ribosomal RNA
Rfam family: Bacterial small subunit ribosomal RNA
Source: RNAcentral
AUUGAACGCUGGCGGCAUGCUUUACACAUGCAAGUCGAACGGUAGCAGGCCGCAAGGUGCUGACGAGUGGCGAACGGGUGAGUAAUGCAUCGGAACGUGCCCAGUCGUGGGGGAUAACUACUCGAAAGAGUAGCUAAUACCGCAUACGAUCUAUGGAUGAAAGCGGGGGACCGUAAGGCCUCGCGCGAUUGGAGCGGCCGAUGUCAGAUUAGGUAGUUGGUGGGGUAAAGGCUCACCAAGCCAACGAUCUGUAGCUGGUCUGAGAGGACGACCAGCCACACUGGGACUGAGACACGGCCCAGACUCCUACGGGAGGCAGCAGUGGGGAAUUUUGGACAAUGGGCGCAAGCCUGAUCCAGCAAUGCCGCGUGCAGGAAGAAGGCCUUCGGGUUGUAAACUGCUUUUGUACGGAACGAAACGGCUCUGGUUAAUACCCGGGGCUAAUGACGGCACCGUAAGAAUAAGCACCGGCUAACUACGUG